UUCCGGUUGAUCCUGCCGGACCCCACUGCUAUCGAGGUGAGACUUAGCCAGGCCAGUCGAACGACUCGGACUAUGGCGAGAAGUGGCAAACUGCUCAGUAACACGUAGCUAACCUACCCUCAGGACGGAGACAACCCCGGGAAACUGGGGUUAAUCCCUGAUAGGCGUGGAUUCCUGGAAUGGUGUCACGCCGAAACGUUAACACACCAUGUUUGUGUACACGCCUGAGGAUGGGGCUGCGGCCGAUCAGGCAGUUGGUGAGGUAACGGCUCACCAAACCUUUGACCGGUACGGGCCGUGAGAGCGGUAGCCCGGAGAUGGACACUGAGACAAGGGUCCAGGACCUACGGGUCGCAGCCGGUACGAAACCUCCACAAUGCACGCAAGUGCGAUGGGGUUACCUCGAGUGCCGCCUGAAGAAGGCGGCUUUUCCAUUGUGUAAUGAGCCGUGGGAAUAAGGGGGGGGCAAGACUGGUGUCAGCCGCCGCGGUAACACCAGCCCCCCGAGUGGUGGGGAUGUUUAUUUGGCCUAAAACGACCGUAGCCAGCUAGGUAAAUCUCUCGUUAAAUCCAGCGUCCUAAGCGUUGGGCUGCGAGAGAGACUGCCAAGCUAGAGGGUGGGAGAGGUCAGCGGUAUUUCUGGGGUAGGGGCGAAAUCCAUUGAUCCCAGGAGGACCACCAGUGGCGAAGGCUGCUGACUAGAACACGCCUGACGGUGAGGGACGAAAGCUGGGGUAGCGAAUCGGAUUAGAUACCCGAGUAGUCCCAGCCGUAAACGAUGCAGGCUAGGUGUUGGGUUGGCCACGUGCCGACUCAGUGCCACAGGGAAGCCAUUAAGCCUGCUGCCUGGGGAGUACGGUCGCAAGGCUGAAACUUAAAGGAAUUGGCGGGAGAGCACCACCAGGCGUGAAGCCUGCGGUUUAAUUGGAUUCAACGCCGGAAAUCACUAG
This 950-nucleotide ribosomal RNA is filed under the name uncultured archaeon. RNAcentral's name for it is "bacterial SSU rRNA". It matches the Rfam family "Archaeal small subunit ribosomal RNA", at positions 1 to 933 of the family's 1478-position model. The record is from RNAcentral.